ACGGGAGGCAGCAGUGGGGAAUAUUGCGCAAUGGGCGGAAGCCUGACGCAGCGACGCCGCGUGGGGGAUGACGGCCUUCGGGUUGUAAACCUCUUUCAGCAGGGACGAAGUUGACGUGUACCUGCAGAAGAAGCGCCGGCUAACUACGUGCCAGCAGCCGCGGUAAUACGUAGGGCGCAAGCGUUGUCCGGAAUUAUUGGGCGUAAAGAGCUCGUAGGUGGCUGGUCGCGUCUGCCGUGAAAGCCCGCAGCUUAACUGCGGGUCUGCGGUGGAUACGGGCCGGCUAGAGGUAGGCAGGGGCAAGUGGAAUUCCUGGUGUAGCGGUGAAAUGCGCAGAUAUCAGGAGGAACACCGGUGGCGAAGGCGGCUUGCUGGGCCUUACCUGACGCUGAGGAGCGAAAGCGUGGGGAGCGAACAGGAUUAGAUACCCUGGUA
RNAcentral lists this ribosomal RNA (435 nucleotides) under uncultured Nonomuraea sp. RNAcentral's name for it is "bacterial SSU rRNA". It matches the Rfam family "Bacterial small subunit ribosomal RNA", at positions 341 to 792 of the family's 1533-position model. Lineage: Bacteria; Bacillati; Actinomycetota; Actinomycetes; Streptosporangiales; Streptosporangiaceae. The record is from RNAcentral.